UUGUAAGUUUCUUCUUCUUCUUGUUUCU
This 28-nucleotide small RNA is filed under the name Arabidopsis thaliana (thale cress). RNAcentral's name for it is "ATSL026150". The record is from RNAcentral. Lineage: Eukaryota; Viridiplantae; Streptophyta; Magnoliopsida; Brassicales; Brassicaceae.